AUAUGAAUAAAUUUGGUGCUCUCCGACAGCGAAUAAUUGCUUGGAAGGAAGUGAUCCGAGUAUGUGUAAUGACAGGGAGGAAGAGAGGUGAGCACCACGGAUCUUCGCCUAGUCAUCGGGAUUUGUUUUGUUAAAACGGAAGAAGCAUGUGAUUACAGAAGGAGGCGCGCAAUUUGGAAAAUGACAGAG
Molecule: non-coding RNA, 189 nt
Organism: Caenorhabditis elegans
Lineage: Eukaryota; Metazoa; Nematoda; Chromadorea; Rhabditida; Rhabditidae
Source: Ensembl